AACGAACGCUGGCGGCAUGCCUAACACAUGCAAGUCGAACGAGACCUUCGGGUCUAGUGGCGCACGGGUGCGUAACGCGUGGGAACCUGCCCUUAGGUUCGGAAUAACUCCCCGAAAGGGGUGCUAAUACCGGAUAAUGUCUUCGGACCAAAGAUUUAUCGCCUUUGGAUGGGCCCGCGUUGGAUUAGCUAGUUGGUAGGGUAAAAGCCUACCAAGGCGACGAUCCAUAGCUGGUCUGAGAGGAUGAUCGGCCACACUGGGACUGAGACACGGCCCAGACUCCUACGGGAAGCAGCAGUGGGGAAUAUUGGACAAUGGGCGAAAGCCUGAUCCAGCAAUGCCGCGUGAGUGAUGAAGGCCUUAGGGUUGUAAAGCUCUUUUACCCGGGAUGAUAAUGACAGUACCGGGAGAAUAAGCGCCGGCUAACUCCGUG
This 433-nucleotide ribosomal RNA is filed under the name uncultured bacterium. RNAcentral's name for it is "partial 16S ribosomal RNA". It matches the Rfam family "Bacterial small subunit ribosomal RNA", at positions 29 to 507 of the family's 1533-position model. The record is from RNAcentral.